This 498-nucleotide ribosomal RNA is filed under the name uncultured bacterium. Its description in RNAcentral is "partial 16S ribosomal RNA". It matches the Rfam family "Bacterial small subunit ribosomal RNA", at positions 28 to 507 of the family's 1533-position model. The record is from RNAcentral.
GACGAACGCUGGCGGCGUGCCUAAUACAUGCAAGUCGAACGAGAGCGACCGGUGCUUGCACUGGUCAAUCUAGUGGCGAACGGGUGAGUAACACGUGGGUAACCUGCCCAUCAGAGGGGGAUAACAUCCGGAAACGGAUGCUAAAACCGCAUAGGUCUUCGAGCCGCAUGGCUUGAAGAGGAAAAGAGGCGCAAGCUUCUGCUGAUGGAUGGACCCGCGGUGCAUUAGGUAGUUGGUGGGGUAACGGCUCACCAAGGCCGUGAUGCAUAGCCGACCUGAGAGGGUGAUCGGCCACAGUGGGACUGAGACACGGCCCAGACUCCUACGGGAGGCAGCAGUAGGGAAUCUUGCGCAAUGGGCGCAAGUCUGACCGAGCAAUGCCGCGUGGGUGAAGAAGGUUUUCGGGUCGUAAAACUCUGUUGUUGGAGAAGAACAAGUGCUAGAGUAACUGUUGGCGCUUUGACGGUAUCUAACCAGAAAGCACCGGCUAACUACGUG